UGAGGAAUAUUGGACAAUGGGCGCAAGCCUGAUCCAGCCAUGCCGCGUGCAGGAAGAAGCAUCUAUGGUGUGUAAACUGCUUUUGUACGGGAAGAAACACUCCUUCGUGAAGGAGCCUGACGGUACCGUAAGAAUAAGGAUCGGCUAACUCCGUGCCAGCAGCCGCGGUAAUACGGAGGAUCCAAGCGUUAUCCGGAAUCAUUGGGUUUAAAGAGUCCGUAGGCGGUUUAGUAAGUCAGUGGUGAAAGCCCAUCGCUCAACGAUGGAACGGCCAUUGAUACUGCUAGACUUGAAUUACAAGGAAGUAACUAGAAUAUGUAGUGUAGCGGUGAAAUGCUUAGAUAUUACAUGGAAUACCAAUUGCGAAGGCAGGUUACUACUUGUGGAUUGACGCUGAUGGACGAAAGCGUGGGGAGCGAACA
RNAcentral lists this ribosomal RNA (422 nucleotides) under uncultured bacterium. RNAcentral's name for it is "bacterial SSU rRNA". It matches the Rfam family "Bacterial small subunit ribosomal RNA", at positions 355 to 774 of the family's 1533-position model. The record is from RNAcentral.